Molecule: ribosomal RNA, 416 nt
Filed under: Coptotermes curvignathus
Lineage: Eukaryota; Metazoa; Arthropoda; Insecta; Blattodea; Rhinotermitidae
Description: partial 12S ribosomal RNA
Source: RNAcentral
GAUACCCUAUUAUUUUGGAAUGUUAAUUUUUGUGCUUGAGUAGUACUAGGUAUGUUCUUGAAACUUAAAGAAUUUGGCGGUAUCUUAUUCCAUUCAGAGGAAUCUGCCUCGUUAUCGAUAGUCCGCGUUGGACCUUGCUUAGUUGUUAUGGUUUGUAUACCGCCGUUUAUUGAUUAUUCUUUUAGGAUUUGUUAAUUUUCUGGUUUCUCUAUUUUGAUUUAUUUCAGGUCAAGGUGCAGCUUGUUUCUAAGUGUUAUUGGUGGAUUACAUUGUUCUUUGUUGUUUGGAUUGCUGGUUGAAUUAUUGGUAUGAAAUUGGAUUUGAUUGUAAUGUCUUGAAGAUUGUUUUCGUGAUAUGGGUUCUGAGAUAUGUACACAUCGCCCGUCGCUCUCGUUUAUUGGUUAAUGAGAUAAGUC